CCCGGCUGCCCCCGCCAAUCGCCGGCAAAGGUGUGUGAGGCGGCGGCCAAUGGGCGCCCAGCCCCUGCGCGUGAUCGGCGGCUGCCCCGCGGCGUGGCCAGAGUGUCAGCGCGGCGUGCGCGCGCUGGGACAGUUUUAACUAUUGGAAAACAGCUCCAUCCUGCUCUCUGUGGUCAGGAUCAUGCGCUUACCAGGAACUGUCUUCAAAGCCCUUCCAAAAAAGAGCAUUUCCAGCAUCCAUGUGAGUGUGGGUGGAAGAGAAAGCAGCAAAUGAAGGUCAGGACGUUCUUGUACCCACAAAAGGCUUAGUCAGAUAAGGUGCAGGACAGCCUGAGAACCACGGCAAAAGGACCUGUUGGAAAUCUAUUGCAAAACUCCGCAAUCUCUAAUUAGAAAUAAAUAAAAAGGCACAAAAGAGAGACUCAUUCAAUAGGUCUAUCUCUGCUCAUCCUGUCUGUCAAUUUAUGGCCAACACAGAAAUUUUACAUGAAUUAUGAACAAGGUACCAAGCCAAAGACUAGGUUUUCAUCUGGAGCGUUACAGUUCUGCUCCUUGCUUUUCUCAGUUUGCUCAACUAGCCAAGAGAGCCGAUUGCAGAAGCUGAAUAUUUUGAUUUCCUUGAAAAAAAUUGACUCUGCUUCAUGCUGAAACAAUGUCUUCUCACUUGCUGUCAGGGCCUUCAGCUAGCGCGAGCUUAGCUUAUUCCAGACCAGGCUGCUUUGUCUGUCAUGGCACGUGUCCUCAGCUUCACCCAUCCAUUGCAUGCCUUAUCUGAAACCCUGCUCCUGGGACCUGUCGUCAUUUGUUCAAAAUUAAAAAUGAGACAAAUAACCUUAGAUCUCUUUUGAGUGCCUAAGUGGUGAGAAGCUGGGAACUGUUCUGGAUAAAGAAAUGACUAGUUUAUCGAGUGCCUGUCACAGGGACAUGCCACAGAAGUGUCCCAAAGCCCAGCAUUACGUGUGUGUGUAGAACACAGGUAUGAACAGAGACCUGGCAAGAUAACAUGUUUUAAGGUGAAGUUGCUACAGUGUGAGACAAACCCCAGAAGCUUGAAGGGACAAUGUCAAUCUGAAUUUGUGGGGAUCUUAAGUAGCCGCUGGAAAGGCAGGAAGAGUUCACCCACAGCAGGCAGAUGUGGUCAUAGGGGACCCGGCAGGUGAAGCGAGCCCAGCCACCCUCUCUCAUGCCCUGCUGGUGCCAAGGGCAGCAUGGGGGGCUCAGCCCACCGCAGGAGAGGCUGCGGCGUGGCAGGGAGCACCGGUGGCCCCAUGUCCCCUCUCUCCUCUGCCCCCCUGCCCCACUGCCCGUGGCCUGUCCGGAGUUGUCUCCUGCAGCCUCAGCCUGGUCCUGGCGAGUGCACGGCCUGGCUGGCGGCUGCAGAGGAUGCCAGACGUGCUGCUGAGCUGCAGGGCUCCAGCAUGCAGGCCAAAUCUGUUCCUGCACACGCGGGCUUGUGGACAUCGUCUAGUGUGGGUGUGUGAUAGGGACACUUGGCAGGUGAGACAGUUACCUCCUCCCAAACUUCUCUAACUCCGGCAUCCUCUGGUGUUUUAUGCUGGGACAGGAGUUUGUUCCUGCCUAAGCUGCAUCCAGCGCAACCAGUCUGCAGGUUUAAUGGAGGUUUGAUGUCAGAGAAACUCCCCACUCUGAGCGGGGGGCGUGGAUUGCAUUGUGGUUGCCAGUGCCUGCGUGGACAAGGAGCCGCUUUGUGUGGCUGCUCAGGGCUGGUCCCAGCGCCGCAGCCCCGCCUGCCUGCAGCCAGGUGAGCAGCACCAGCAGGUUGAGUCCUGAGCACCGAGGUCCGGAGCCAGACCUGUGCGUGGGCAGUGGGCAGCAAGGGUACCCUUGGGCUUUGUGUGCCUGCCCUUUCAUAGCUGGGCUGUGGAUGACUCCUCUUAGCUUACUAACAGCCUUGUUUGAGGUCCGAGGUGGUCGGGCCCCACAGAAACGCCCGAGCAGGUGACAGCAGUUGCACCCCAGCUGUGCUGGUGGAGCGGCAGCGGCUCGCGGAGGAACAACGUGAAGUGUGUCACCGGCAUUGCUGCACCCGCGCUGUGGACGCUGCCAGCCCGGCCCUGCUGACGGCACAGGCAGUGAGCUCCAGCCUUGAAGCUGCGCCAGGGCAGCUCUCCUCGAGCUGGGCAGCCUGCGGGACAGCGACAGCGACAGCGACAGCGACAGCGAGGAAGGCAGAGGAGCAGGUGGCUGUGAGCACCUCAGGGCAAGGGCAGCUGGAGAGGGAGGUGUUUUUGCUCCUCGGCCUUGCCCGCAAUGCCAGUGUGCCAGGGCUACCCACUUUGGGACGUAGAGCUGGCUGGCAACUUGCUGUUGAAGCAUUCCUUGUUGAAAAACAGUAAGAAUUUGUUGAAAAUCUAAACUUUCAAUGGGAUGUCCAUGUGGAUGUGGGAGACCAAGUGUGUCCCAGAGUCUGCCUCCCAUGUCUGUCUCCCUCUGGCUGGUACCAGCAUGGGUAGGUCAGUCCUCAUCCCCACACAGAACAGGAAGGUUUUGGACCCUCAGACACUUUGCAAGAGAAAUGGCUUUUCCAGGCAGCCCUGUCCAUGCCGACUGCGAGCGCCACUCCAGCCGGGUGAGCCAGCACUGCUCAGGCACAGCUCAAGCUGAGAGAAGGGUUUGUGAUCUGGUGUCACAGGAUCACGGCGUAAUUCAGAGGAGAAAAGCCCCUGGGACGUUUCCAAUCCAGCUGACGGCUCAGAGAAGGGUCAGUCAUAAGGUCAGACCAGGCUGCCCAGCGCUUCAUCAUGUUGGGGCUGGAAAAACCUCUGGGGAUGGCGACCAGUAGCCACAUGGGACACUGGCUGUGAUGGCCAACACAUCCAGGCUGCUCCUCUUGUCUGAAUUUCCAGAGCUAUUUAGGGAGAGGGUUAAAAUGUCAGGUGGAGGUUCCAGUCUGUGUAAGCAGCAGGGUGUGAGUCUGCAGGCACACAGCCUGCACCCUGGCUCCGCCGGCCUCACCGCCCGCCCGGCACCGUGUCCUUCGCAACGCGGCUGCCGGGCGCCAACGCGCACGGUCGGUGCCGAGUGCCGGGGCCGGGCUGGGAGCAGCGGACGCGCGGAGAGCCGGCGGGACGGGCAGCCUGGGGAGGGGCGGAACGGGAGAGCCUUCCCGCCCGCCCCCGCCGCGCCUGUCCCGGCCGGCUGCCCGCGGCUCCCUGGAGGCAGGGCGGGCGGGUGGAGCUCCCUGCCGGCCGUGGCUGCCGCCGGCCCCGGCUCCUGUCCCGCUCCAUCCGCGGCUCCCGCCGGCCCCGGCCCCGGCCCCGGCCCCGGCCCCGGCCCCGGCCCCGGCCCCGGCUCCUGCCCCGCUCCAUCCGCGGCUCCCGCCGGCCCCGGCCCCGGCCCCGCUCCGCUCCAUCCGCGGCUCCCGCCGGCCCCGGCUCCCCGGCGGUUCGCCCCGGGAGCUGCCGAACUCCAUCAUCGGGUUGAAAAAGCGGGGAUCUACCGGGAGGGCCGUCUCAGACCACAGCACUGGAUGUAUCACUUCUGCCCUUUGCCACCUCUGCGUUCACCAGACUGGGCACAGACAUGGCUGCAGGAGUGACCUCAGGGUGCAUUCCUGCUGCUGAGACCUGAAACAUCAGCUCCCCACUGCUGUCACCACCUUAACAGCAGGCUUUUCCAUGUCAGAAGUGUGAUAAACUUGUGACACAAGUAUCUGAGUGCUUUUCUUAAUUGCAUUAAUUUGUUAAAUUAAUACAAUAAAUUUAAUUUUAUUUCUUAA
Molecule: long non-coding RNA, 3739 nt
Organism: Columba livia (rock pigeon)
Lineage: Eukaryota; Metazoa; Chordata; Aves; Columbiformes; Columbidae
Exons: 5
Source: RefSeq, a predicted model, not a curated record